Molecule: ribosomal RNA, 31 nt
Filed under: Inocybe posterula
Lineage: Eukaryota; Fungi; Basidiomycota; Agaricomycetes; Agaricales; Inocybaceae
Description: partial 18S ribosomal RNA
Source: RNAcentral
GUCUCCGUAGUUGACCUGCGGAGAAUCAUAU